Molecule: non-coding RNA, 154 nt
Organism: Amborella trichopoda
Lineage: Eukaryota; Viridiplantae; Streptophyta; Magnoliopsida; Amborellales; Amborellaceae
Source: Rfam
CCCACACCUAUGUGUGUAGGACCUCAAAGGAUCACCAUUUAAUUUGGCACAGAUAUCUAGAAAAGUUAUUACAUGGAUAUGGGACUUGACUUUUAUAGAGAUUUGUGCCAAAUUUAAUGGUGAUCCUUUAGGGUCCUACACACAUGGGUGUGGG